RNAcentral lists this ribosomal RNA (20 nucleotides) under Pseudogymnoascus pannorum. RNAcentral's name for it is "partial 28S ribosomal RNA". The record is from RNAcentral. Lineage: Eukaryota; Fungi; Ascomycota; Leotiomycetes; Thelebolales; Thelebolaceae.
AGGUUGACCUCGGACCAGGU